AUUGAACGCUGGCGGAAUGCCUUACACAUGCAAGUCGAACGGCAGCACGGGAGCAAUCCUGGUGGCGAGUGGCGAACGGGUGAGUAAUAUAUCGGAACGUGCCCAGUCGUGGGGGAUAACGUAGCGAAAGCUACGCUAAUACCGCAUACGAUCUAUGGAUGAAAGCGGGGGAUCGCAAGACCUCGCGCGAUUGGAGCGGCCGAUAUCAGAUUAGGUAGUUGGUGAGGUAAAGGCUCACCAAGCCGACGAUCUGUAGCUGGUCUGAGAGGACGACCAGCCACACUGGGACUGAGACACGGCCCAGACUCCUACGGGAGGCAGCAGUGGGGAAUUUUGGACAAUGGGCGCAAGCCUGAUCCAGCAAUGCCGCGUGCAGGAUGAAGGCCUUCGGGUUGUAAACUGCUUUUGUACGGAACGAAACGGCGAGCUCUAAUACAGUUUGCUAAUGACGGUACCGUAAGAAUAAGCACCGGCUAACUACGUGCCAGCAGCCGCGGUAA
This 500-nucleotide ribosomal RNA is filed under the name uncultured bacterium. Its description in RNAcentral is "partial 16S ribosomal RNA". It matches the Rfam family "Bacterial small subunit ribosomal RNA", at positions 30 to 523 of the family's 1533-position model. The record is from RNAcentral.